GCAAAGGGCAGAGGUCAGCGAGUCAUACACCCUGCCCCCCGUUCCCUCCACAUCACCCUCAGGUGCAGUGAGUCCUGGGGAGAGUGUUUUCAAGAGAUUUGAUAAUAUGCGGAAUAGUUUGGGUUUGUUAAA
This is a long non-coding RNA of Clupea harengus (Atlantic herring), 132 nucleotides long. RefSeq lists it as uncharacterized. NCBI's taxonomy places the organism in Eukaryota, Metazoa, Chordata, Actinopteri, Clupeiformes, Clupeidae. The transcript is spliced from 2 exons. The record is from RefSeq and is a predicted model, not a curated record.